UCUCCGUUGGUGAACCAGCGGAGGGAUCAUUACCGAGUUUACAACUCCCAAACCCCUGUGAACAUACCAUUUGUUGCCUCGGCGGUGCCUGCUUCGGCAGCCCGCCAGAGGACCCAAACCCUUGAUUUUAUACAGUAUCUUCUGAGUAAAUGAUUAAAUAAAUCAAAACUUUCGACAACGGAUCUCUUGGUUCUG
RNAcentral lists this unclassified non-coding RNA (195 nucleotides) under plant metagenome. RNAcentral's name for it is "partial contains small subunit ribosomal RNA, internal transcribed spacer 1, and 5.8S ribosomal RNA". The record is from RNAcentral.